CAAAUUUAAAAUCUACCUGGUUUCCAGGUCGAGUUGUAAUUUGAAGAUACGUUUUUGACGUUCCGGGUUGAACUAAAUCCUUUGGGAUAAGGUAUCAUGGAGGGUGAGAAUCCCGUAUAUACCAACCRYAGGGAUGUUAUUUAAUACGUUUCUAAGAGUCGAGUUGUUUGGGAAUGCAGCUCUAAAUGGGUGGUAAAUUUCACCUAAUGCUAAAUAUAAGCGAGAGACCGAUAGYGAACAAGUACAGUGAUGGAAAGAUGAAAAGAACUUUGAAAAGAGAGUUAAAUAGUACGUGAAAUUGUUGAAAGGGAAACGAUUGAAGUCMGUCMUGCCBGUGGGAAUCMACUUWGRGGAAACUCUGAGUGCACUUYUUCGCUUGGCAGGUCAACGUYGAUUUUGGAUGUCAUAAAAUGAUUGGGGGAAGGKAGCYCYYUCGGGAGUGUUAUAGCCCUUGGUAGAUGUGAUGUCUGGGAUCGAGGAUUGCAAUGGAUACCCUUUGGGGCUAGCCGCCUGAUCUCUAAUYGGUAUUGGGUUACGGAUAGCAUGCUGACCGUGAUCUAAUUAUUGGUUAAAAGGUUAG
RNAcentral lists this ribosomal RNA (580 nucleotides) under Glomeromycotina sp. RNAcentral's name for it is "partial 28S ribosomal RNA". It matches the Rfam family "Eukaryotic large subunit ribosomal RNA", at positions 110 to 629 of the family's 3401-position model. The record is from RNAcentral. Lineage: Eukaryota; Fungi; Glomeromycota.